AUUGAACGCUGGCGGCAGGCCUAACACAUGCAAGUCGAGCGGAUGAAGGGAGCUUGCUCCUGGAUUCAGCGGCGGACGGGUGAGUAAUGCCUAGGAAUCUGCCUGGUAGUGGGGGAUAACGUCCGGAAACGGGCGCUAAUACCGCAUACGUCCUGAGGGAGAAAGUGGGGGAUCUUCGGACCUCACGCUAUCAGAUGAGCCUAGGUCGGAUUAGAUAGUUGGUGGGGUAAAGGCCUACCAAGGCGACGAUCCGUAACUGGUCUGAGAGGAUGAUCAGUCACACGGGAACUGGGACACGGUCCAGACUCCUACGGGAGGCAGCAGUGGGGAAUAUGAGACAAUGGGCGAAAGCCUGAUCCAGCCAUGCCGCGUGUGUUAAGAAGGUCUUCGGAUUGUAAAGCACUUUAAGUUGGGAGGAAGGGCAGUAAGUUAAUACCUUGCUGUUUUGACGUUACCAACAGAAUAAGCACCGGCUAACUUCGUG
This 484-nucleotide ribosomal RNA is filed under the name uncultured bacterium. RNAcentral's name for it is "partial 16S ribosomal RNA". It matches the Rfam family "Bacterial small subunit ribosomal RNA", at positions 30 to 507 of the family's 1533-position model. The record is from RNAcentral.